AUUGAACGCUGGCGGCGUGCCUAACACAUGCAAGUCGUGCGAGAAAGUUCCUUCGGGAGCGAGUAAAGCGGCGCACGGGUGAGUAACACGUAGGUAACCUGCCCCCCAGUCUGGAACAACUAGAGGAAACUCUAACUAAUGCCGGAUGAGACCACGAUCCCUUCGGGGGUUGGCGGCCAAAGAUGGCCUCUACUUGUAAGCUAUCGCUGAGGGAUGGGCCUGCGGGCCAUUAGCUUGUUGGUGAGGUAACGGCUCACCAAGGCUGUGAUGGCUAGCUGGUCUGAGAGGAUGACCAGCCACACUGGGACUGAGACACGGCCCAGACUCCUACGGGAGGCAGCAGUGGGGAAUAUUGCGCAAUGGGCGAAAGCCUGACGCAGCGACGCCGCGUGGGUGAUG
Molecule: ribosomal RNA, 399 nt
Filed under: uncultured bacterium
Lineage: Bacteria
Description: bacterial SSU rRNA
Rfam family: Bacterial small subunit ribosomal RNA
Source: RNAcentral